GACGGACGCUGGCGGCGUGCUUAACACAUGCAAGUCGAACGGAAAGGCCCCAGCUUGCUGGGGUACUCGAGUGGCGAACGGGUGAGUAACACGUGGGUGAUCUGCCCUGCACUCUGGGAUAAGCCUGGGAAACUGGGUCUAAUACCGGAUAGGACCGUGCUUUAGUGUGUGCGGUGGAAAGUUUUUCGGUGCAGGAUGAGCCCGCGGCCUAUCAGCUUGUUGGUGGGGUAAUGGCCUACCAAGGCGGCGACGGGUCGCCGGCCUGAGAGGGUGUACGGCCACAUUGGGACUGAGACACGGCCCAGACUCCUACGGGAGGCAGCAGUGGGGAAUAUUGCACAAUGGGCGCAAGCCUGAUGCAGCGACGCCGCGUGGGGGAUGACGGCCUUCGGGUUGUAAACCCCUUUCGGCAGGGACGAAGCUUUUGUGACGGUACCUGCAUAAGAAGCACCGGCUAACUACGUG
Molecule: ribosomal RNA, 465 nt
Filed under: uncultured bacterium
Lineage: Bacteria
Description: partial 16S ribosomal RNA
Rfam family: Bacterial small subunit ribosomal RNA
Source: RNAcentral